UCAGAUGUCUUCAUCUGGUUG
Molecule: microRNA, 21 nt
Filed under: Mus musculus (house mouse)
Lineage: Eukaryota; Metazoa; Chordata; Mammalia; Rodentia; Muridae
Description: mmu-miR-1942
Source: miRBase by way of RNAcentral